UGCGCUGACAUCACACUGAAACACCAGUUCCCGUACGAUCACCGAAGUUAAGCAACGUCGAACCUGGUCAGUACCUAGAUGGGUUACCGCUUGGGAAUACCAGGUGUUGUAAG
Molecule: non-coding RNA, 113 nt
Organism: Acanthosepion pharaonis
Lineage: Eukaryota; Metazoa; Mollusca; Cephalopoda; Sepiida; Sepiidae
Source: the annotation of a GenBank genome assembly